Molecule: long non-coding RNA, 409 nt
Organism: Quercus robur (English oak)
Lineage: Eukaryota; Viridiplantae; Streptophyta; Magnoliopsida; Fagales; Fagaceae
Exons: 2
Source: RefSeq, a predicted model, not a curated record
CUCUGACUAUGAUAUAGGUCAAAGAUUAAUGAAAACAUUGGGCAAUGAUGGCGUUAUCCUUAGAAAGGGCAUGUAAUUCAGUAACUUAUCACUAUGUUUAGCUAUUUGAUUACAUGAAAUUUCAGGUCAAUUGAGCCGCAAGUGAAAGGAAAAGAUUUACUCUGACUGUGAUAUUGCUUUAAGUCCUAUCUCUUUCGGCCAAAUCAACUUAUAGAUAAAUAUUGACAAAUGGUAGGUGGUAGUUACACAGUUGUCACAAAUCACAAGAAAUGUUGGUUGGGGUUAAAAAUGUGUCUUUGUUUCAACCUAUAUGUAUUAAUCCGAAGGAUAACACACACUUUCAAGUCUAUGAAAUUCUAUAUGUAUUAUUUUUGUGAUCUUUUAAAUUUAUGAAAUUCUAUGUCUGGUA